UACGUAGGGGGCAAGCGUUGUCCGGAAUCAUUGGGCGUAAAGAGCGUGUAGGCGGCCAGAAAAGUCCGCUGUGAAAACUCGAGGCUCAACUUCGAGCUGUCGGUGGAAACUUUCUGGCUAGAGUCCGGAAGAGGAGAAUGGAAUUCCUGGGUGUAGCGGUGAAAUGCGCAGAUAUCAGGAAGAACACCCGUGGCGAAGGCGGUUCUCUGGGACGGUACUGACGCUGGAGACGCGAAAGCGUGGGGAGCGAACAGG
This 255-nucleotide ribosomal RNA is filed under the name uncultured bacterium. RNAcentral describes it as "partial 16S ribosomal RNA". It matches the Rfam family "Bacterial small subunit ribosomal RNA", at positions 524 to 776 of the family's 1533-position model. The record is from RNAcentral.